CGUUCUAUUAGCUAGUUGGUACGGUAACGGCGUACCAAGGCGACGAUAGAUAGGGGUCCUGAGAGGGAGAUCCCCCACACUGGUACUGAGACACGGACCAGACUCCUACGGGAGGCAGCAGUGAGGAAUAUUGGACAAUGGGCGGAAGCCUGAUCCAGCCAUGCCGCGUGUGUGAAGAAGGCCUUUUGGUUGUAAAGCACUUUAAGCGAGGAGGAGGCUACUAGUAUUAAUACUACUGGAUAGUGGACGUUACUCGCAGAAUAAGCACCGGCUAACUCUGUGCCAGCAGCCGCGGUAAUACAGAGGGUGCGAGCGUUAAUCGGAUUUACUGGGCGUAAAGCGUGCGUAGGCGGCUUUUUAAGUCGGAUGUGAAAUCCCCGAGCUUAACUUGGGAAUUGCAUUCGAUACUGGGAAGCUAGAGUAUGGGAGAGGAUGGUAAAAUCCAGGUGUAGCGGGGAAAUGCGUAGAGAUCUG
This 474-nucleotide ribosomal RNA is filed under the name uncultured Acinetobacter sp. RNAcentral's name for it is "bacterial SSU rRNA". It matches the Rfam family "Bacterial small subunit ribosomal RNA", at positions 234 to 700 of the family's 1533-position model. Lineage: Bacteria; Pseudomonadati; Pseudomonadota; Gammaproteobacteria; Moraxellales; Moraxellaceae. The record is from RNAcentral.